Molecule: transfer RNA, 86 nt
Filed under: Planctomycetota bacterium
Lineage: Bacteria; Pseudomonadati; Planctomycetota
Description: Planctomycetes bacterium tRNA-Leu
Rfam family: tRNA
About the family: Transfer RNA (tRNA) molecules are approximately 80 nucleotides in length. Their secondary structure includes four short double-helical elements and three loops (D, anti-codon, and T loops).
Source: RNAcentral
GCCAAGGUGGCGGAAUUGGCAGACGCGCUAGGUUGAGGGCCUAGUCGAGGUAAAACUCGGUAAGGGUUCGAAUCCCUUCCUUGGCA